CAGCUGAUGGUUAUGCUGAGGAAAGCAGUGCCCUGCAGCAGCUGGCAUUCAUCUGAAUUGGUUCUCCUUCUUGCUGGAGUCCAGACAGUGUUGAGCAGCCCAAGAGAUGCUGCUGGGCAAGGGGACGUCUAGGCGCCAGGCUGUGUUUCCGCUGCUGCUGCUCGUAGCAAGGAGUCUCUAAACAUAGUGGUGAAGGAACUGGGAAGGAGCCUGGAUUUGGAAUUCCAGCUGGCAGAUGGUCAAGCAAGACAAUGCUUGCAGGAACCCCCAAAUCUCCUUCCUAGUGCGGCUUCAGUGUCCUCCCAGUUACUACCAGUAUCCCAAACUUCCUGGUGCUACCGGGAUCUGCACAAGGCUGCCCUGAGAGGUGGUGGAGUCACCGUGCCUGGAGGUGUUCAAGCAGAGAGAUUGAGGUACAGUGGCAGCACGUUUGCAGAUGGCCCCAAGCCGAGUGGUGCUGUGGAGAAAGCAGAGGGACAGGAUGGCAUCCAGAAAACACCUGGGCAGGCAGGAGAGCUGGG
Molecule: long non-coding RNA, 521 nt
Organism: Pogoniulus pusillus (Red-fronted tinkerbird)
Lineage: Eukaryota; Metazoa; Chordata; Aves; Piciformes; Lybiidae
Exons: 3
Source: RefSeq, a predicted model, not a curated record